GACGAACGCUGGCGGCGUGCUUAACACAUGCAAGUCGAACGGUAAGGCCCUUCGGGAUACACGAGUGGCGAACGGGUGAGUAACACGUGGGUGAUCUGCCCUGCACUUCGGGAUAAGCCUGGGAAACUGGGUCUAAUACCGGAUAGGACCACUGCCUGCAUGGGUGGGGGUGGAAAGCUUUUGCGGUGUGGGAUGGGCCCGCGGCCUAUCAGCUUGUUGGUGGGGUGAUGGCCUACCAAGGCGACGACGGGUAGCCGGCCUGAGAGGGUGACCGGCCACACUGGGACUGAGAUACGGCCCAGACUCCUACGGGAGGCAGCAGUGGGGAAUAUUGCACAAUGGGCGCAAGCCUGAUGCAGCGACGCCGCGUGAGGGAUGACGGCCUUCGGGUUGUAAACCUCUUUCAGCACCGACGAAGCACAAGUGACGGUAGGUGCAGAAGAAGGACCGGCCAACUACGUGCCAGCAGCCGCGGUAA
Molecule: ribosomal RNA, 478 nt
Filed under: uncultured bacterium
Lineage: Bacteria
Description: partial 16S ribosomal RNA
Rfam family: Bacterial small subunit ribosomal RNA
Source: RNAcentral